UCCCGAGCAGUAUUCAUUUUCUAGUGUGAG
RNAcentral lists this non-coding RNA (30 nucleotides) under Rattus norvegicus (Norway rat). The record is from RNAcentral. Lineage: Eukaryota; Metazoa; Chordata; Mammalia; Rodentia; Muridae.